Molecule: non-coding RNA, 7375 nt
Organism: Nothobranchius furzeri (turquoise killifish)
Lineage: Eukaryota; Metazoa; Chordata; Actinopteri; Cyprinodontiformes; Nothobranchiidae
Source: RefSeq, a predicted model, not a curated record
AUGCAGCAGUGCCUGGCCCGGGUUCGGGGGCCUCAGGUAGACCUUGGCUCCUCUGCCGUUCCAUCACAGGGGAGGGGGAGGUCCUGGAGGGGGAGGACCCAACCUUACCUGGAUGUCCCAUGUCUUAUAUAUUCUGGAAGUUGUGCAAAUGCAGGGAUGGGCAUAGAUAUUCUGCUGGGGUGGGGCUGGGUUGGUGCCCUCGGACUCCGUGAGGCUCUGUAAUGCUGCUGCUUUGGGCCCUGGCAGGAUGUGCUGGGGUCUCCAUGCCCUGGGUGGCAGUUUGACAACAGAGGUGCCUAUUGGGGCCAGUAGGGGAGCUGGCUCCCUGGAGGGCUAAGCCCAACCAGCCAUUCCUCCCCAUCCCCGCAUAUUUCUCUCCUCCUGCUCCCUCACAUCAUCACACAAACAUACACAUAGGACCUUGGGGGGUGGGCAAGUCAGGGAGUGCGGGUAUGGAUCCCAUUUCCGCAUUCCUGUGGCAACCUGCCCCCCAACUUUAUUUGCACCUUAUACACUUCCACUGACGACAUUCCACACAAACACACACUUAGGGCCUUGGGAGUGAGCACAUUCAACGGCAUUUGGCAGGGGGAUAUCUCAGCCUCCUCCCGGGUGCCGGUGCCCACUUCCAAUUUUAAACCGCACUUAAGCCCCAUUCCCACCUGUACCGGGUCGGCCCGGGCCAGGUAGCGUAGGUUGUUUACAUAUCUGGGUGGCCUGGAAUUUUCCCGGGCCAACCAAGGCUCAUUCUCGGCCCUCUUCCCGAGGGGUACUGCUUCAGGCCGACCAGGGCCAACACGCCCACUGCUGACAGCAAAUUCACACCUUCCAUUAGAGCAAGCCUCUGAUUGGUGGGUAGAAUCAGCCCAUUCACACCUUCCAUUAGAGCAAGCCUCUGAUUGGUGGGUAGAAUCAGCCCAUUCACACCUUCCAUUAGAGCAAGCCUCUGGUUGGUGGGUAGAAUCAGCCCACAUGGGCUUAAGGCAAGGAUGUGUGGAAUCAACCGGGCCAAGCUGGGGCCGACUGGGGCUACCCGGCCCGGGCCGACCCGGUACAGGUGGGAAUGGGGCUUUAGACACAGAGGGCUGAGGGUGUAAGUGGGGUGGUGCGGUGGCAUCAGCUGGCAUAGGCCGGAUGAUGCCCACACUGCCCGCUCACCACAGCCAUGGAAUACAGCUCAUAAUCACACAACACUAUAUUGGAGCAGGCGGAGGGAGACUAGGGGUCUUAGCCACUUCUGUUGUUGCUAGGCUUCCUGGGGCUGGAGGCUAGGAGGGAGAUCUGGCCAUCUGGUUGGGGUCUGGGGUGGUAGGUUGCUGUGCUCAGCUUUGGGCGGGGGAGCCUGUUCAUCAGCACCCCAGCAGAAAGGGUCAAACUCUGGUUACCGGUGACGGUUGUACCCCAUGUGCAGCAGUACCGGGACCAGAGUGAAUAGGGUGUGUAUGGAGAGCAUGAGUGGGUGUCCGGCGUGCAUUUUUGUAAGUCUUGGGUUGUAUGUGCAUGUGUGAGCAUGAGGGAGGGAGUGUGUGACUGUGUUUGCUAGAGGUGUGAAUCUUCACUUGUCUCCCAAUUCGAUUCGAUUACGAUUAUUGGGUCAACGAUUCAAUUUGAUUCGAUAUCCCGAUGCAUCACGAUUAUUUCAUAUUGAUUUGUUUUCAUCGAUAAAUAGAACAUGUCAGAUAAUUGCUUUUUUUUAAAUCAAAAACGUAAUUGAUACAACCUGUCAGCCCUCAAAAGCUCUCCAUUCACAACAGGUUAGGACAAAACAUUUUAAACAUUUAAGAAGAUUUAACAAAGCAAAACAUCUGUUUCCUCUUUCAACACCACGCCUCAAGCUGAGAAAACACGCUUUACAAAAUCUCACAAAAUCUAAAAAAGUACUGAAAACCCACAGGACACAACAUAAUGUAAUAAUCAGAUACAAUAAUGGGUUCAUAUAUGAGUGUUUAAUGUCUCUGAGCAGCUCUAGAGUCAGAUAUUCAUGCCACAGUUGAAGGGUGUCAGAAAUAACACCAAAUGAAAUGUUUGACUUAGUUUAUUUUAUUUGAACCCAGUGGUUCGUUUCUGAAAUGUUGGAGAAUGAAUCAAGUUCUGUUUGAUGCAGAAAAUAAAACAUAAAACAAAUUCUACACUUCCAAUAAUAUUUAAGAUGUGUGUUUUAUUCUUUCUGAUAAUAACACCAGCAGAAGGCUGUGGGCUGGAUUAGGAUUAAAUUACCCAGGUGAUGGAUCUCCUUCACUAACCAGCUAACUACAAACCUUUCCACUGACCUGUCCUGUGUGACCCUCACCAUGUAACCCUCAUGUCCAUUCGGAGGAGCAGAUAGAGACAAGACCUCCUGUAACUUAAAAUGAACCAAAGCUUCCUCCCAGUUUUUUAAAAUAGAAUUUAACAUCAGUUUAUCAUCAUGAAACAAAAGAAUAAAGUGGAACAAGAACUUCUUUCUUCUAUUUCUCUCUCCUUUUAAUUUCUCCGUGUCCCAAAAUAAAAUACAGACGAUCACGCUGCAGCCGCCGUCAUUGACCCCGCCCCCUCCCCAAGACCGGAUCUCCCUACAUUACAACAAGCAGUCUGACUGAGCGCUUCCAGGAGAAAUAAUAAUUAAAUUAUGAAAAUAAUAAUGCGUGUUUGGAGCAUCAGUUUGGAGGGGCGUCCUCCGAUCCUCUCGUGUGAGCAGUCCCCCCCCCCUCCCCCCUCUCAGUUGCUGUGCGAGCGGAGCGCGCCGCAUGACAACCCGCUCAGUUAAAGGCACAGUCUGCAAGAUUUAAAUGUAGAAUAACUUUAAAAAUGUUUUAUUUUGACCAUCUGACCCAAUUUUAUUAAAAAAAGUAAAUAAUAUUUAAUAUUUCAAUUUUCUCCUAAGUCCCUCCCCUGCCCUGUAGAGCUCAGCCAAUAUUUCUGCAAGCCUAACGCGUUGACCAAUAGCGCUGCGUUUCCACCAGGGGGCAGCUGUCAGUCAUCGAGCACGAGCAUUAGAUCUCAGCGUGCACAACAGUGUCACGCGCCUCACUCGGCUUACUGCAGAAACAUGGAGCAACAAAACCCCAAAUUACCGAUUCCUCGACUGCCUUCCACAUCUCAAAAAACAUUUAAAAAGUUUAAAAGCCCUUCUUCAAAAGUGGUUGUAAGACGUUUGAGACAGUUGAGUAGAAUUAACAUUGGAGAUUGUUUUAAACGGUGGAGAGAUUUUCGUGAUCUACACGGCCUGAAAACGGAUGAAGAGUUGGCAAAGUAUCUUUUAGACAGGUAAGUUAUUUAUUGUUUUUCGGAUACAUUUACUUCAAAUCUUUCUUUCACUGAAAGAAGUAAUAGAGCAAACCAGCUUUGUAUGCUUGGUGUCCUAUUGGCUAAUGUAGCAUUAGCUUGAAUGCUAAGUCGACAUGAAUCGAUGCUAGUCGAACAAUUAAUGCUAUUUUUUGAAGAAGUUUGAGUAACGAAAGGGGAUUUUAGUUUUUUUUAUAUGGGAGCUAAUGAUUAGUGUGGCGUUUAACUAUAGGCCAUAUCAUUGUAUUGUUUUAAGCUCUUGUUUAUAACUUCCCCGUUAGCAGGGUUCAGUUAGCAUCUUGAAUGCUGAAUUAGAUGUUUACACUUUCCUGAGCUGCGUGUUUGAUUAAAAUGAGUAAUCAGCAGCUCAUGUAGCACUUGUAGAAGUCUGAGGAGAUGAUUCAGCAGUUAGAAUUAGGUGUGAUUGAUCAGGAACGUAUCCAAAACCUUACGUUUCCAUUAGCACCGAAGGACAUAUUGUGCUAACCUGGGUGGGCCACGUGUACAGAUUACUGUCUGAGUUUGUGGUCUUACCUACGUGAAAACUCCAUAUUAAAAUAAAAGGAAUGAUAAUCAGCUCGUGCAAAAAUCUGUGAAGGCUGGGGAGACUUGUUUAGCUUGUGAUCACUAAUUUUUGGGCUUUGUUUUUGACAGUCAUCAGUCCAAAUAUGAGGCAUCAACAUCUACACCAUUGAAGCGCCAACUGUUUAUUUCUCCAACACCAGUGCCAGCUCUGUCUAGCAUUCAUGGAGAGUCAUCUGAAAGGGAUGAUAAUUUGGAGGAGGUGAUGGAACAAGGUGAAACUAAAAAAGAAGGAUCUUCACAAAUGUAAGUACAAGGUUGUAUCUGUAUUUGGCUGUCACAUUUGUCAGGAAAAGUAAACAAUAAUUAUUUUUUUAGGGUUAUCUUGUGUGGGAAUUGAAGCAAACAUUGAUGAGGAAGAGUUCAACAAUAUUCAAAACUCUGUGAUAGAUUCAUCAGAUGACACAUGGUCACCAAACAGAGAGCCAGAAGUUGAUUCGUCUUCAGAGGAGGACAAAACCAUCGAGAUGGACAGCGGUACUGAUGACAGCGGUGAUGAGGACUACACACCUUAUACACACAUAAGGACUGGAGCGGCAUUACAAAAAACAUUACAACUUGAGACUCUGCAAGAAAUUAACAUUGUGGAUACAGUUCAUGACUGUAAUAUCCCAGAAGCAACUGAUGCAACACCUGUACCAGAUAAAGUAGUGGUCAACAUUCCUGGAGACAUAAUUGGUCAACCGGUUUCCAUGGUGUACCACAAGUGUAUGCAGCAGCUUGCAGAGUUCCUUCUCUUGCCAGUCCAAGUAUGUACGGAGAAAGACCCACAAACAUCUGAGGAAUGUGGUGCCUCUGCACCAUUCAUUAUCAACAUUUCUUCACGAGGAACAGCUAUGAUUGUCAAAUGGUGUUGUCCCAAGAGCCACGUUGUUUGGCAGUGGAAUUCUCAGCCAACGUUCAAAUUUGGGAUGCAAGCUGGAGAUUUUAUGCUCUCUUCAAAUAUACUCCUGUCAGGCAACAAUUUUGCAAAAAUUGCCCUCAUGUUUAAAUACAUGAAUAUGGGCAUGGUGACCCGCAACACUUUUUUUUUCAGUCCAAAAUGCAUAUUGUGUGGACACCAUAAAAGAAUACUGGACUGAAAAAAGGACAGAUAUUAUUUCUGAGGUGAAAGAAAGAGGACAUGUUGUUGCACUAGGUGAUGGGAGAAUGGAUAGUCCUGGCUUCUGCGCACAGUACUGUACAUACACUUUGAUGGACAAUGAUACCAGAAAAAUACUCUCCAUUGAAAACGUCGAUAAGAGAGAAACUCAGAGGAGUUCUACAAUAAUGGAGAGGGAGGCUUUCAUCAGAAGUGUUGACAAGGUUAGCCAAGAAGUGAAACUAUCAGAAGUUUGCACUGAUGCCCAUUCACAAAUAUCUGCUCUUUUCCGUAAGUAUAACACAGUUUUGCACAAAACACACAUCUUUAACCAUUAUUAGUAUUGCCUUACAGUUCAUUUUAUCUGUGUCAGGAAAAGGAAAGUACAAAGACAGUGGAAUUGAGCACACCUAUGACAUGUGGCAUGGUGCAAAGAACCUGAGCAAAAAAAUACAUGCGGCAGGUCAGCAAAGGGGAUGUUCCAUUUUAUUACAGUGGAACAAAGAUAUCUGUAACCAUUUUUGGUUUUGCUGCAAGUCGGCGAACACUUAUGAUGAGUUUUUUGUAAGUACAUUAUUUGUAUUUUCAUAUAAAAAAAAGUGAAUGUAACUAAUCGCCACAUGUCUUUUAGGACAUGUGGAUCGGUCUACUCCAUCAUGUUACUGGAGAACAUGAGUGGUCUCUGGAUGCUUGUCAGCAUGAUCCUUUACUAAGUGACAGAGAGAAAGACUGGAUUCAGAAAGGCUCCACUCCUCACAAAGCCCUCAGUGACAUCAUUCUCAGUGAACGCUGGCUGAAAGAAGUCCCAAAAUAUUUGAAAUUCAGCAAAUUUGGAGGCGUUUCACAACCAUCUCCUAAUGUAUGCAAGCAAAAGAUUCAGUUACAUCCCACCUGUUUACGAGGCACGGAUACUGCUUGCUGCACUGGACUACAAACACCACUCACAUCGAGAAGUGAAGAGGAGAGCAGAUGGAUCGAUACAAUACCAUAAAAUAUUCAACAAAAAAUCAAGAUGCUGGAGGCUGUAUUCUGAGAAGGUGGCAAAAGACUACUCCUACAUCCCAGAGAUCCAAACCAUGAUCGUCAACCAACGUUUGACAAGCAAGAAAGAUCUUCCUUGACGCUACAAGCUAAGGCCUGAGGAUCCAAGGCGUUACGGUUUGCUGUCCGAAGUCCCUGCACCAUCAACAGAGGAACUUCUACAACACCUACGGACUCGCGGUGAUGGUAAAACUUUGCCACAGACAUAGGUGUUGGGGGAGGCAAGAGAAAACCCAAAACCUUCUUUAUUUUUGUUUCCUGUGUUUUAUUUAUUUAUUUUUUUUAAAUAAAGAUAUAUUUUGGGGAAAUAAGGACUAAUAAUUUAAAAAUGUAUGUAAAAUGUUGGAGGUAGACAUAAGUUUUUGUUGUUGUGCAGGAGUUAUAACACUUAUGGUAUUUUUACAAAUGCAACAGAGAGUUAUGCUUUAUAACACUUUAUUAGAGCAUCAAACAAAACUAUAUAAAAAACAAACUUAUGUAAAACAUCAAAUAUAUACAUUUAUUUACAAUCGUCUUGGGAUAAAACCAGUGUAGUUACCAUUGGGGUCAGGGAAUUUUUCCCUUAUCCUCCAGACAACGCAGCUUGGGAUUUCUACUCUGCGUCCUCCACCAAGUUUUCCAUGCUGCCAUGCUACAAACUGUCUGUAAGCUGCAUGGCGGAACUGUCUGUUGUCCUCACCAGGGUCCGGGUCAUCAUAAACUGCUCGAAACUCAUUCCACAAUGUUCUGGCCAGGCGAAGAACACCAUUUUGCAAAAAUAAACUCCUCCAUGUGUGGUACAGUUGAAAUACAUGUCUGGGGAGGCUGUUGGCAGCAUUUCUUUUCCAAAUCAGUUGGCAUAUCUCUGCAGUGGGAGCAUACACACCAUGAAGGUUGAUUGAAUGUUGAGGUGUUGUGGCAGGUGGACCAGAGAGGGCAAGUACAUCAAAGAGAACACCAGUGUCUGUCCAGCACCAUGGUAAGGAUGUCAAUAGCCUGCUGAGGGUUCAGGUUCUGUAUGCGUUGCUACAAAAGUGGAAAGAGAUGCUACAGCAACAGUUUUUAGGAUCAUUUAGUGUAAUUUUGUUAUGCUUACACGUUCAAAGUCUAUUCGCUCGGAACGAAGAUUCUGAACUCGAGAGAGAUCUUCAUCUCCAAGGUCCACAGCUGAGUGUCUCGCACUUCUUCGGCCUCUGGAUGCACCGCGGCCUCUAGACACACCACGGCCUCUGGAUGCACCACGGCUUUGAGAUGAUGAUCUUCCACAGCAUCAUGUCUGGGAAAAGGAGAAGGAUUUGACUGCCCAGCAGCUCUUUAACCAGGAGUCGAUCUCCUGUUCAGACCAGGAAGAACCAGAACAGCUAAAACUUUGCCAACAUGAAGGACAGCUCUUCCUGAACCAGGAAAAUCUUACCUUCACGGAUACUC